RNAcentral lists this ribosomal RNA (406 nucleotides) under uncultured bacterium. Its description in RNAcentral is "partial 16S ribosomal RNA". It matches the Rfam family "Bacterial small subunit ribosomal RNA", at positions 30 to 526 of the family's 1533-position model. The record is from RNAcentral.
AUUGAACGCUGGCGGCAGGCCUAACACAUGCAAGUCGAACGAGUGGCGGACGGGUGCGUAAUGUCUGGGAAACUGCCUGAUGGAGGGGUAUAACUACUGGAAACGGUCUCUAAUACCGCAUACCAUCGGAUGUGCCCAGAUGGGAUUAGCUAGUAGGUGGGGUAACGGCGCACCUAGGCGACGAUCCCUCGCUGGUCUGAGAGGAUGAACAGCCACACGGGAACUGAGACACGGUCCAGACUCCUACGGGAGGCAGCAGUGGGGAAUAUUGCACAAUGGGCGCAAGCCUGAUGCAGCCAUGCCGCGUGUAUGAAGAAGGCCUUCGGGUUGUAAAGUACUUUCAGCGGGGAGGCGUUACCCGCAGAAGAAGCACCGGCUAACUCCGUGCCAGCAGCCGCGGUAAUAC